This 492-nucleotide ribosomal RNA is filed under the name uncultured bacterium. Its description in RNAcentral is "partial 16S ribosomal RNA". It matches the Rfam family "Bacterial small subunit ribosomal RNA", at positions 29 to 507 of the family's 1533-position model. The record is from RNAcentral.
AGUGAACGCUGGCGGUAGGCCUAACACAUGCAAGUCGAACGGCAGCACAGUAAGAGCUUGCUCUUACGGGUGGCGAGAGGCGGACGGGUGAGGAAUACAUCGGAAUCUACUUUUUCGUGGGGGAUAACGUAGGGAAACUUACGCUAAUACCGCAUACGACCUACGGGUGAAAGCAGGGGAUCUUCGGACCUUGCGCGAUUGAAUGAGCCGAUGUCGGAUUAGCUAGUUGGCGGGGUAAAGGCCCACCAAGGCGACGAUCCGUAGCUGGUCUGAGAGGAUGAUCAGCCACACUGGAAGUGAGACACGGUCCAGACUCCUACGGGAGGCAGCAGUGGGGAAUAUUGGACAAUGGGCGCAAGCCUGAUCCAGCCAUACCGCGUGGGUGAAGAAGGCCUUCGGGUUGUAAAGCCCUUUUGUUGGGAAAGAAAAGCAGCAGGUUAAUACCCCGCUGUUCUGACGGUACCCAAAGAAUAAGCACCGGCUAACUUCGUG